This 465-nucleotide ribosomal RNA is filed under the name Vreelandella stevensii. Its description in RNAcentral is "partial 16S ribosomal RNA". It matches the Rfam family "Bacterial small subunit ribosomal RNA", at positions 338 to 795 of the family's 1533-position model. Lineage: Bacteria; Pseudomonadati; Pseudomonadota; Gammaproteobacteria; Oceanospirillales; Halomonadaceae. The record is from RNAcentral.
CCUACGGGGGGCAGCAGUGGGGAAUAUUGGACAAUGGGGGCAACCCUGAUCCAGCCAUACCGCGUGUGUGAAGAAGGCCCUCGGGUUGUAAAGCACUUUCAGUGAGGAAGAACGCCUGGUGGUUAAUACCCAUCAGGAAAGACAUCACUCACAGAAGAAGCACCGGCUAACUCCGUGCCAGCAGCCGCGGUAAUACGGAGGGUGCGAGCGUUAAUCGGAAUUACUGGGCGUAAAGCGCGCGUAGGUGGCUUGAUAAGCCGGUUGUGAAAGCCCCGGGCUCAACCUGGGAACGGCAUCCGGAACUGUCAAGCUAGAGUGCAGGAGAGGAAGGUAGAAUUCCCGGUGUAGCGGUGAAAUGCGUAGAGAUCGGGAGGAAUACCAGUGGCGAAGGCGGCCUUCUGGACUGACACUGACACUGAGGUGCGAAAGCGUGGGUAGCAAACAGGAUUAGAUACCCGUGUAGUC